Molecule: RNA transcript, 3872 nt
Organism: Antechinus flavipes (yellow-footed antechinus)
Lineage: Eukaryota; Metazoa; Chordata; Mammalia; Dasyuromorphia; Dasyuridae
Gene: AP1G2
Gene name: adaptor related protein complex 1 subunit gamma 2
Exons: 23
Source: RefSeq, a predicted model, not a curated record
UGGGUGGGCUCUUGUGCGCGCGCUCACGCGCGUGGGCACGCUGGUGUAAGGAGUGGGAGAUCGCGAGCAUCUCGGAGGCGGGAGGACUGGAGGGCUGCAGGCACAGCGAAGCACAAAGUGUGUGGGAAGUGGGGGAAAAGAACAGGUGGCUGGAGCUGAGAUGCAGAAGGCCGGAGCAGAGCGGGGUGGGAAAUAGGGCGAGGCUCCGCACAUGCGUAAUUGGGGUAUAAGGAGAAGGGUGGGGCUCAAGGGAUGCGCAGGCCUACAGAAGAAAGCGAGAAGAGGAAGGGCGCAUGCGCGGUGAGAAAAGCCUGCAAGAGGGGCGGAGCCAGAAACCCGCAGCCCUACCCCGCCCUGCCAGGAUGGUGCUGCCUUCCCUGAAGCUGCCGGAGUUGAUCCAGGAGAUCCGCGGGGCCAAGACUCAGGCCCAGGAGCGGGAGAUCAUCCAGAAGGAGUGUGCCCACAUCCGGGCCGCCUUCCGCGAGGGCGACGCCCCCCAGCGCCACCGCCAGCUUGCCAAACUCCUCUACGUCCACAUGCUGGGCUACCCCGCCCACUUUGGACAGAUGGAGUGCCUGAAGCUGAUUGCAUCACCCCGAUUCACAGACAAAAGGGUGGGCUACCUGGGGGCAAUGCUGCUGCUGGAUGAGAGACAGGAUGCCCACCUGCUCAUAACCAACAGCAUUAAAAAUGACCUGAGCCAAGGGACCCAACCAGUGCAGGGGUUGGCACUAUGUACCCUAAGCACCAUGGGCUCAGCAGAGAUGUGCCGAGAUCUGGCUAAUGAAGUAGAAAGGCUGCUGUUGAGGCCCAGUCCUUACAUCAGAAAGAAGGCAGUGUUGGCUGCAGUGCACAUGAUCCGGAAGGUCCCAGAGCUCUCUGACAUCUUUCUCCCUCCCUGUACCCAGCUGCUGCGUGAACGACACCAUGGUAUCCUGAUGGGAACAAUCACAUUGAUUACAGAACUAUGUGAACGAAGCCCUGUUGCUCUCACACAUUUCCGACAGGUAGUACCCCAGCUGGUUCAGAUCCUUCGCACCCUGGUGAUGUCAGGAUAUUCAGCAGAGCAUAGCGUGGCUGGGAUCAGCGACCCUUUCCUUCAGGUUAAGAUAUUGAGACUACUUCGGAUUUUAGGCCGAAACCAUGAGGAAAGCAGUGAAGCCAUGAAUGACAUGCUGGCCCAGGUGGCCACCAACACAGACACAAGUCGGAAUGCUGGCAAUGCAGUGUUAUAUGAGACAGUGCUCACCAUUGUGGACAUCCGUUCUGCCUCUGGCCUGCGGGUUCUUGCUGUCAACAUCCUUGGCCGCUUCCUGCUCAACAGUGACAAGAACAUCAGGUAUGUGGCCUUGACCUCUCUGCUUCGACUGGUACAGUCAGAUCACAGCGCUGUGCAGAGGCAUCGGCCCACUGUGGUGGAGUGUCUGAGGGACCCUGAUGCCUCCCUUAGUCGGCGGGCACUAGAAUUGAGCUUGGCUCUUGUGAAUAGUUCUAAUAUUCGGUCCAUGACCCAGGAGCUACAAGGUUUCCUGGAGUCCUGCCCUGCGGAUCUUCGGGCAGAUUGUGCAUCCGGCAUCCUGCUGGCUGCAGAGAGGUUUGCCCCAACAAAGCGCUGGCAUAUAGAUACUAUAAUGCAAGUGCUGACCAGUGCAGGUGCCCAUGUGCGAGAUGAUGCAGUGGCCAACUUAACUCAAUUGAUUGGAGGGGCAGAGGAACUUCACGCUUACUCUGUUUGUCAGCUGUACAAUGCCCUAGCUGCAGACAUUUCCCAGCAACCACUGGUACAAGUAGCUGCCUGGUGCAUUGGGGAAUAUGGGGAUCUUCUGCUGUCUGGAAGCUGUGAGGAGAUUGAACCCCUGCAGGUUCAGGAAGAAGAAGUGCUAACACUGCUAGAGAAGGUAUUGCAGUCCCACUUAUCCUUGCCAGCUACCCGUGGUUAUGCCCUCACUGCCCUUAUGAAGCUCAGCACCAGGCUCCAAGGAGACAACAACCGCAUCCGACAAAUAGUAUCCAUCUAUGGAAGUUGCUUGGAUAUAGAGUUACAACAGAGGGCUGUGGAAUACAAUGCUUUGUUCCGGAAGUAUGACCAUAUGAGACCAGCGAUCUUGGAGAAGAUGCCUCUUGUGGAACAUGGUGGACCCCAAGAUGAUGAGGCAGGAGAAGGCAAAGAAGAGCCUUGGAACCCAAACAGAGAGAGCCAAUCUCCCACUAAGACCCCGACUGCAAACCUUUUAGACCUCUUGGAUCUCCUAGAUGGUGCCAGUGGGGAUGCCCAGCCACCUCCUGCUUUGGAUCUAAUGCCAGGAGACUCCUUAUUACACCUGCUGGAUCUUCCUUCCACUACUCCUUCCUUAGCACUCAUCCCAAGUCUAAAGGUGUUUGACCGAGAAGGACUACAGAUAAAUCUGUCUUUUGUUCGUCCUCCUGAGAUACCUGCCCUGCUUCUGAUUACUGCAACUGCCAUCAACACCUCCAAGAGUGAUGUCACCCAUUUUGUGUGUCAGGCCGCCGUGCCUAAGAGUUUCCAACUGCAGCUGCAGAUACCCAGUGGAGACACAGUUCCAGCUCAGGGAGGCCCUCCCAUCACACAGGUCCUCAGAGUCCUCAAUCCUAACAAGGCCCCUUUGCGGAUGAGACUGAAACUCACAUACAACCACUUUGGACAGUCAGUACAAGAGAUCUUUGAGGUGAAGGACUUCCCCCCAGACACGUGGCAAUGAUGAGACAGAUAUGCUUCCUUAGCCUGAGCAGGAAGAAGUCCCAGCCUCUCCAGAAAGGCCCUAGACCACCUAGGAGCAGGUGGGGCUUGAAGUCACUCUUCCCUAGGGCUACCAGUAGGUGGCAAUCUGCUUCCAUGAUUCCCUAUUGCAGAGACAGAUUGGGUUAUGGGGGCUCAGAUCUCCCCCCUUGGCCAUGAAGGAUUACAAUAAACUUGGGAGAAAAAAGCCAUGUCUAGGUCUGUUCUGGGGACAAUGCCCUCGAAAACAACAGACAGCAAGGAAUGGAACCUCACAAGAACAAAGUUUCUACCCCUGAGCCUUGGGAACAGUCCAAAAACAGAAAUCUUUCUUUGUCCCAAACUACAAGACAGAAAUUUACCUCAAAACUCACACAAGACCCAAUUUACCAUCAUGGGUCAAAGGAGGACACAACUAUCGGUGAAAUCAGAAUAUUGGUUUUUCUGGCAGAUCCUCCUACCUCUUUUCCCUUCAUCAACACUCCCCUCUACCCCAGCCAGGGAAAUCCCUACUGCUUGCCCUCAUCUCUAACUCAGCUGUAAGGCGGUUAGGAGCCGCUGGCAGAAUCAAUGGCAUCGACCAAGGGGGGGCCGGCGAGGGAUUUUCCUGUGCUUAACUACUGAUCACGGCUAAGUGGAAAUCCUAUAAACACGAGCGGAAAUCAAUGGAGGCUGCUUAGCAGCUGGGGGAGAGGGGCAGCCCACAGAUUGCAUCUGACGGAUGAAGGAAAGGAGAUAAAAGUAACAAGCCCAGAAAGAAGAAGUGAUAUGACCAAGAUGUCACAGGAAGUAAAACUGGAAUUCUACCUUUGGAAUGUUCUUCCCACCACAUCACCUCUUUCCUUAAGGGACCCAGGUCUACUUUCUAAGCUGAGGCUAUUUCUGCUAAACUAUACUUGAGUGAAAAAACACAUUGGCCUGGCCAUUUUCUGUCUCUUUAUUCAUAUGAGCCUUGUUUUCUUGUCUAAAGUAAAGGAGAUGGCCUAGAUCCACAUUCUUAAAGUAAUUUGGCCACAGAACUCUAGGCCUUAAAAUAUGUUGACUGAACCUAUAAAUGGCACUUAUAGGGCUAGACUAUCCCCAAGAAUAAAGGAAGAAGUGGGUUAAAGUGUAGAACAAAAUAAGCCAAUUUUCA